GACCCGGAGUGUGCCUGCACACGCAGGGUCAUGGAUAUUGGACGGGCAAGCCGGUAUGAGUAAGGAGGGCGACAGCCCGGAUUACGAAUACUGGCGGCAGAUGCGGGAGUGCACAGCACGGAGCAUCUGG
RNAcentral lists this small RNA (130 nucleotides) under human gut metagenome. RNAcentral's name for it is "Clostridiales-1 RNA". It matches the Rfam family "Clostridiales-1 RNA", at positions 25 to 158 of the family's 166-position model. The record is from RNAcentral.